UUAUCUCUAUAUUAUUUAAAGUAAAAGGCCAAUUGAUAUUUCCAUAUACUAGUCUAUGACGGCAGAAGGUUGAAAAAGUUCCAUUCGAUAUAUUCCAUACAAAAGAUCAGAAGAUAUAUAUUGUUUUGUGGUUGGAGGCGGCUAUACUGAUUGGGCCGAAGCCCAUUUGUUUGGGUCGUGACAGAUAAAGACGAAUAAGAGGAGGCUGCCAUAAAAAAAAAGCAAUAUCAUCGAGCCGCACAUAAUUCACGUAGGAGGGCUCUAGUCGAGAUCAGAUUGGGGACGCACGAACAGGAAGGUGUUUAGCAAAGAUUCAAGGCUACGGAAUCAUCGGGAUCGAGCGGGAGGCUUGGAGAACAAGGAAUUACCGGGCUAGAUGGAGGCUUGGGAAAGAAGCGGGUCAAACAGAUUGAGUGCGCGGAAAAGAGCAUAACCGGAUGCAAGGUAAAAGUCAAGAGUUUCCGGAUGAAGAUCAAGCAACGUACGAGAGCCGAACACAUCAUAAAGGAGCUUCCACAUUAAUCUUGUUUUGUUUCGACAAUAUGAAUUAUGUAAACUCUUAACGGUUAUGUUUUGAAUGUUUUAAACAUAUGUGAACACUGUGAUGUAAAAGUUUUUGUCAAACGGCAUUUUUGCCAUGAAAUGCUAUUAUUAAUUGAU
Helianthus annuus (common sunflower) is the source of this 660-nucleotide long non-coding RNA. RefSeq lists it as uncharacterized. The transcript has 3 exons. NCBI's taxonomy places the organism in Eukaryota, Viridiplantae, Streptophyta, Magnoliopsida, Asterales, Asteraceae. The record is from RefSeq and is a predicted model, not a curated record.